Long non-coding RNA from Amphibalanus amphitrite, 1169 nucleotides. RefSeq lists it as uncharacterized. The transcript is spliced from 3 exons. The record is from RefSeq and is a predicted model, not a curated record. NCBI's taxonomy places the organism in Eukaryota, Metazoa, Arthropoda, Thecostraca, Balanomorpha, Balanidae.
CCAAUCUCACCAAGUGCGGUAAACUCAUUUUGCGGUAACCUACCCCAAAACGAAUCUCACCACUGCCGUAAUUUUUUAUGUUACCGCAUCGAAAUAACCCCAUGGGAUAGCUUCGGUUUUACUGCAAAUUCUUCAUGUGCGCAGCUGCUCACGGCCCGAAAGCAAGUAAACAAACCAAACAAUCAGCUGAUUGCCCCCAAAUGUCGGACAAAAAUUACUGCAGACAUUUGUGCCGUAAUCUCUAAAUUUUAUACUAAUUGUGAGCAAGAAUCAACAAUUAAAGAUGUAAAAAGAACUUUAUAAGAAAGAAAAGAAAUAAGUUUCUUUUUUAAGAUUAUUUUUAUUGCAGCCUGCGCCACCUAUGCUUCCUAUUUGCAGUACCCAAAACAGCAUGUAGAUGUCGCCCGUGAGUCUUGGAAACUGAGGUGCCGCUUGGAAAGAAGAAACACGCUCUCGUUGCCAUGGCGACAAAACAAUUGCGUUCUUUAUAUGGCGCCGGCGUGAUUAGCAGCUUUUCUACCAAUCCGAAGCGUCGAAAAAUGGGGUUCUUUUGCAGGAUUUGCACAAAAUGCGGUAAAUUACAGCAUGGGGCAGUUUGGGUUGGCGAGAUUGGAUUAUUUGCUUGGGGUUAUUUCGGUGCGGUAACUUACCGCAACCCCAAACGAGUUUACUGCACUUGGUGAGAUUGGGCCCAUCCUUUCAUCAUGAAGACCGCCGUCGUUCUCGCCUGCCUGCUGGUGGCUGUCGCUGCCAGGCCCCAGUUCGGAUUGGGCACUGGUCUUGGAACUGUCGGAACUCUUGGAACCGGCCGUCUCACCACGGGCGGUUUGGGCACAGGCCUCGGACUCGGCACAGGCCUGGGAGUCGGCGGACUCGGCACAGGCCUCGGUGUCGGUGGACUCGGCACAGGACUCGGACUCGGCACAGGCCUCGGUGUCGGUGGCACUCGGGUCACUACUAGCCAGACGACUUUCGGCAACACUUUCGGGGUGGGUCGCUAAUCCACAGAUUCUGAGUGCAUACUUGAAGAGUACACUUAUGUACACCUUUUCGGAACCAUGCGAUGUCAGUCUCGUGGAAGUUUUUCAUUGAAGGAAACAGUGUGACUGUAUAUCGUUUGCUCAUUGCUGUGCAUUACUUGUUGUCAUUUCAUAAUAAAUAUGCAAUUU